RNAcentral lists this ribosomal RNA (525 nucleotides) under Triticum aestivum (bread wheat). Its description in RNAcentral is "partial small subunit ribosomal RNA". Lineage: Eukaryota; Viridiplantae; Streptophyta; Magnoliopsida; Poales; Poaceae. The record is from RNAcentral.
AUGCCUUGUGCAUGCUGUCGAGGUUGCCGGGCGCGCAGUAGGCGGCGGUGUCCGGGUGGUCGCGGUGCGCCCAGACGGCGGCCACGGCGGCGUGGCACCCCUGCGCCACCACGCUCCCCAGCGGCCACGCGUCCGCCAGGUCGCGCCGCAGCACCACGUACUGCACCACCACGUCCUCGGCCUCCUUCCUCGCUUCCUCGCCGACAGCGGCGGCGGCGGCGGCGGGAGACGGGACUGCGUCCGGCGUGGAGGCGGCCGCGCUCAUGCUGGCUCGCGGUGGGGUUCGGAGGAUGGGAAUCCUGGCGAGGCCGGGGAGGAGGUAGGCGGCGCCUGGGAGCGUGCUGGCUACGGGGGACGGCAAGCGAAGAGGCAGGAGGGACAACAUGGUCCUCAGUUUUCUGCCUGUGGUUUGUUUUGCUACAAGUCCACUUGUUUUUCUUCUUUGUUUUCCUUGUUCUCCUUUUCAUAUUCUCUUUUUCUUCAGCUAUAUAUUUUUCUAGAGAAAUGAUUCCCUUCACCCAAUAG